This 390-nucleotide ribosomal RNA is filed under the name uncultured bacterium. RNAcentral describes it as "bacterial SSU rRNA". It matches the Rfam family "Bacterial small subunit ribosomal RNA", at positions 28 to 420 of the family's 1533-position model. The record is from RNAcentral.
GACGAACGCUGGCGGCGUGCUUAACACAUGCAAGUCGAGCGGUAAGGCCCUUUCGGGGUACGACGAGCGGCGAACGGGUGAGUAACACGUGGGUGACCUGCCCUUAGCUCUGGGAUAAGCCUGGGAAACUGGGUCUAAUACCGGAUAUGACUCCAUGACGCAUGUUGUGGGGUGGAAAGCCUUGUGCGGCUAGGGAUGGGCCCGCGGCCUAUCAGCUUGUUGGUGGGGUGAUGGCCUACCAAGGCGACGACGGGUAGCCGGCCUGAGAGGGCGACCGGCCACACUGGGACUGAGACACGGCCCAGACUCCUACGGGAGGCAGCAGUGGGGAAUCUUGCGCAAUGGGCGAAAGCCUGACGCAGCGACGCCGCGUGGGGAUGACGGCCUCGG